This 330-nucleotide ribosomal RNA is filed under the name uncultured Lachnospiraceae bacterium. RNAcentral describes it as "bacterial SSU rRNA". It matches the Rfam family "Bacterial small subunit ribosomal RNA", at positions 28 to 339 of the family's 1533-position model. Lineage: Bacteria; Bacillati; Bacillota; Clostridia; Lachnospirales; Lachnospiraceae. The record is from RNAcentral.
GAUGAACGCUGGCGGCGUGCUUAACACAUGCAAGUCGAACGAAGCACUUUAUUACGAUCCCUUCGGGGUGACGAUUUAGUGACUUAGUGGCGGACGGGUGAGUAACGCGUGGGUAACCUGCCUUAUACAGGGGGAUAACGUUUGGAAACGAACGCUAAUACCGCAUAAGCGCACAGAGUCGCAUGACUCAGUGUGAAAAACUCUGGUGGUAUAAGAUGGACCCGCGUCUGAUUAGCUUGUUGGCGGGGUAACGGCCCACCAAGGCGACGAUCAGUAGCCGGCCUGAGAGGGUGAACGGCCACAUUGGGACUGAGACACGGCCCAGACUCC